Molecule: signal recognition particle RNA, 298 nt
Filed under: Saimiri boliviensis boliviensis (Bolivian squirrel monkey)
Lineage: Eukaryota; Metazoa; Chordata; Mammalia; Primates; Cebidae
Description: Metazoan signal recognition particle RNA (ENSSBOG00000009390.1)
Rfam family: Metazoan signal recognition particle RNA
About the family: The signal recognition particle (SRP) is a universally conserved ribonucleoprotein. It is involved in the co-translational targeting of proteins to membranes.
Source: RNAcentral
GCCAGGCGAGGUGGCGCAUGCCUGUAGUCCCAGCUACUCAGGAGGCUGAGGCUGGAGGAUCACUUGAGCCCAGGAGUUCUGGGCUGUAGUGCGCUAUGCCAAUCGGGUGUCCGCACUAAGUUCGGCAUCAAUAUGGGACCUCCCGGAAGUGGGGGCCCACCAGGUUGCCUAAGGAGGGGUGAACUGGCCCAGGUCAGAAAUGGAGCAGGUCAAAACUCUGGUGCUGAUCAGUAGUGGGAUCGCGUCUGUGAAUAACCACUGCACUCCAGCCUGGGCAACACAGCGAGACCCUGCAUCU